UACGUAGGGGGCAAGCGUUGUCCGGAAUCAUUGGGCGUAAAGAGCGUGUAGGCGGCCAGAUAAGUCCGCUGUGAAAACUCGAGGCUCAACUUCGAGCUGUCGGUGGAAACUAUUUGGCUAGAGUCCGGAAGAGGAGAGUGGAAUUCCUGGUGUAGCGGUGAAAUGCGCAGAUAUCAGGAGGAACACCAACGGCGAAGGCAGCUCUCUGGGACGUAACUGACGCUGAGACGCGAAAGCGUGGGGAGCAAACAGG
This 253-nucleotide ribosomal RNA is filed under the name uncultured bacterium. RNAcentral describes it as "partial 16S ribosomal RNA". It matches the Rfam family "Bacterial small subunit ribosomal RNA", at positions 524 to 776 of the family's 1533-position model. The record is from RNAcentral.